Molecule: long non-coding RNA, 687 nt
Filed under: Ursus maritimus (polar bear)
Lineage: Eukaryota; Metazoa; Chordata; Mammalia; Carnivora; Ursidae
Description: lncRNA (ENSUMAG00000011994.1)
Source: RNAcentral
GAAAGACAGGGACUAAAAGGUCUAUACGAGAACGCACUUUCUGGCUGCUGGUCAGAGCGGAGGAGCCGAAGUAGCCUAGGACGGCCGCUCCUGUUGUGUGUCUGGGCCUUGGCGGAAGUGGAGGUUCUAGGAGCAGCCCAGGAAGCCACUCUCUGCGCACGAGAUGGUUGGCUGUGGGGCUCUGGACUGUAUUUGAAUGGCGUGGAGGGAAGUCUCAGGGUGUCUCACCUCUUCGUGCCUUAUCAUGCUCAAAGUGGAUUAACCUCAUGGAUAAUGGAUCUGUUCCUGUAACAAGUUGUGACGGCUAAUUGUGCAUUGUGCCCAUCCUGCACCACAUGAAGGAAGGUAUUACUGCCGUGAAUACUAAGCCUUGAUGACUCAGUGUGCUGAGCUUUCUUUAUUUCUAGUACUGGGAGGAGAAAAGCUCGGCACCCCGGCUUUCUCUUUCAGAGUGCACACAACAAGCCAUACACAUCUUCCCGAAUCUUAGUUUGUGCUUCAGUAAACUGACUUAUUAUUUUUGCCUAUCACGUGUUGGUCUUUUCUACUAGAUGGUGAACCUUUCAAGUGAAGAAUGUGUAUUUCUGGGGCACCUGGGUGGCUCAGUUGUUAAGUGUCUGCCUUCGGCUCAGGGCCUGAUCCUGGAGUCCUGGGAUCGAGCCCCAUAUCGGGCUCCUCUGCUGGGAG